UGUCUCAAAGAUUAAGCCAUGCAUGUCUAAGUUUAAACGAUUCUAUCGUGAAACCGCGAACGGCUCAUUAUAACAGCUAUAAUUUACUUGAUCUUGACUCGUCCUACAAGGAUAACUGUGGUAAUUCUAGAGCUAAUACUUGCACCAAAGCUCUGACCUCACGGGAAGAGUGCAUUUAUUAGAACAAAACCAAGCUGCACGUGUUGCAGACGCUUUGUUGACUCAAGAUAACUCAGCUGAUGGCAUUGCUUUACGCAGGCCACGUGUCAAUCAAGUAUCUGCCUUAUCAACUUUCGAUGGUAGUGUAUUUGACUACCAUGGUUGUGACGGGUAACGGAGAAUAAGGGUUCGACUCCGGAGAAGGCGCCUGAGAAAUGGCGACUACGUCCAAGGAAGGCAGCAGGCGCGCAAAUUACCCACUCUCAGAUUGAGGAGGUAGUGACGAGAAAUAACGAGACCGUUCUCUACGAGGCCGGUCAUCGGAAUGGGUACAAUGUAAACCCUUUAACGAGUAUCUAUGAGAGGGCAAGUCUGGUGCCAGCAGCCGCGGUAAUUCCAGCUCUCAAAAUGCAUAGAAUCAUUGCUGCGGUUAAAAAGCUCGUAGUUGGAUCUGUGCUGGAGACUUGGUCCACCUUAGGGUGCGUACUGAGCUCUUCAGCUUUUCUGUCGGUUUUCCCAGCAUGGCCUUUAUUGGUUGUGUUGGGUAGCUGAUGAUUUUACUUUGAACAAAUCAGAGUGCUUCAAACAGGCGUUUUGCUUGUAUGUUUUUGCAUGGAAUAAUAGAAAAGGAUUUCGGUUCUAUUUUAUUGGUUUUAUAGACUGAUAUAAUGGUUAACAGAGACGAACGGGGGCAUUAGUACUUUUGCGCUAGAGGUGAAAUUCUUGGACCGCAAAAGACUAACUAUAGCGAAAGCAUUUGCCAAGAACGUCUUCAUUAAUCAAGAACGAAAGUCAGAGGUUCGAAGGCGAUCAGAUACCGCCCUAGUUCUGACCGUAAACGAUGCCAACUAGCGAUCUGCCGGUGGAAUACUAGCCCUGGUAGGGAGCUUCCCCGGAAACGAAAGUCUUCCGGUUCCGGGGGAAGUAUGGUUGCAAAGCUGAAACUUAAAGGAAUUGACGGAAGGGCACCACCAGGAGUGGAGCCUGCGGCUUAAUUUGACUCAACACGGGAAAACUCACCCGGCCCGGACACUGUAAGGAUUGACAGAUUGAUAGCUUUUUCAUGAUUCGGUGGAUGGUGGUGCAUGGCCGUUCUUAGUUCGUGGAGCGAUUUGUCUGGUUUAUUCCGAUAACGAGCGAGACUCUAGCCUACUAACUAGUCUUCACAUUGCUACUGUGUGGAGUACUUCUUAGAGGGAUUAUCGGUGUACAGCCGCAUGAAAUUGAGCAAUAACAGGUCUGUGAUGCCC
Molecule: ribosomal RNA, 1409 nt
Filed under: Tylenchidae sp. BHMM-2005
Lineage: Eukaryota; Metazoa; Nematoda; Chromadorea; Rhabditida; Tylenchidae
Description: SSU rRNA
Rfam family: Eukaryotic small subunit ribosomal RNA
Source: RNAcentral